GACGAACGCUGGCGGCGUGCUUAACACAUGCAAGUCGAACGGUGAAGCGCCUUCCUUUUUGGUGGGUGUGGAUGAGUGGCGAACGGGUGAGUAACACGUGAGUAACCUGCCCCCUUCUUCUGGAUAACCGCAUGAAAGUGUGGCUAAUACGGGAUAUUCUGGGUCUGUCGCAUGAUGGGUCUGGGAAAGAUAUUGUUUCGGUGGGGGAUGGGCUCGCGGCGUAUCAGCUUGUUGGUGGGGUGAUGGCCUACCAAGGCGGUGACGGGUAGCCGGCCUGAGAGGGUGGACGGUCACACUGGGACUGAGACACGGCCCAGACUCCUACGGGAGGCAGCAGUGGGGAAUAUUGCACAAUGGGCGCAAGCCUGAUGCAGCGACGCCGCGGGAGGGAUGGAGGCCUUCGGGUUGUGAACCUCUUUCGCCAGUGAAGCAGGCCUGCCUCGUUUGUGGGUGGGUUGACGGUAGCUGGAGAAGAAGCGCCGGCUAACUACGUG
This 494-nucleotide ribosomal RNA is filed under the name uncultured bacterium. RNAcentral describes it as "partial 16S ribosomal RNA". It matches the Rfam family "Bacterial small subunit ribosomal RNA", at positions 28 to 507 of the family's 1533-position model. The record is from RNAcentral.